UACGGAGGGGGCUAGCGUUGUUCGGAAUUACUGGGCGUAAAGCGAACGUAGGCGGUGUUCCAUGUCAGAGGUGAAAGCCUGGGGCUCAACUCCAGAAUUGCCUUUGAAACGGGGACGCUUGAGUCCGAGAGAGGAUGGCGGAAUUCCUAGUGUAGAGGUGAAAUUCGUAGAUAUUAGGAAGAACACCAGUGGCGAAGGCGGCCAUCUGGCUCGGUACUGACGCUCAGGUUCGAAAGCGUGGGGAGCAAACAGG
Molecule: ribosomal RNA, 253 nt
Filed under: uncultured bacterium
Lineage: Bacteria
Description: partial 16S ribosomal RNA
Rfam family: Bacterial small subunit ribosomal RNA
Source: RNAcentral